GAUGAAGAACGCAGCGAAAUGCGAUAAGUAAUGUGAAUUGCAGAAUUCAGUGAAUCAUCGAAUCUUUGAACGCACAUUGCGCCCCCUGGUAUUCCGGGGGGCAUGCCUGUCCGAGCGUCAUUACAACCCUCAAGCUCAGCUUGGUGUUGGGCCCCGCCGCCCCGGCGGGCCCUAAAGUCAGUGGCGGUGCCGUCCGGCUCCGAGCGUAGUAAUUCUUCUCGCUCUGGAGGUCCGGUCGUGUGCUCGCCAGCAACCCCCAAUUUUUUUCAGGUUGACCUCGGAUCAGGUAGGGAUACCCGCUGAACUUAAGCAUAUCAAUAGCGGAGGA
RNAcentral lists this unclassified non-coding RNA (328 nucleotides) under soil metagenome. RNAcentral describes it as "partial contains 5.8S ribosomal RNA, internal transcribed spacer 2, and large subunit ribosomal RNA". The stretch from base 1 to 120 matches the Rfam family "5.8S ribosomal RNA", at positions 35 to 154 of the family's 154-position model. The record is from RNAcentral.